This 447-nucleotide ribosomal RNA is filed under the name Klebsiella pneumoniae. RNAcentral describes it as "bacterial SSU rRNA". It matches the Rfam family "Bacterial small subunit ribosomal RNA", at positions 99 to 542 of the family's 1533-position model. Lineage: Bacteria; Pseudomonadati; Pseudomonadota; Gammaproteobacteria; Enterobacterales; Enterobacteriaceae. The record is from RNAcentral.
CGGACGGGUGAGUAAUGUCUGGGAAACUGCCUGAUGGAGGGGGAUAACUACUGGAAACGGUAGCUAAUACCGCAUAACGUCGCAAGACCAAAGUGGGGGACCUUCGGGCCUCAUGCCAUCAGAUGUGCCCAGAUGGGAUUAGCUAGUAGGUGGGGUAACGGCUCACCUAGGCGACGAUCCCUAGCUGGUCUGAGAGGAUGACCAGCCACACUGGAACUGAGACACGGUCCAGACUCCUACGGGAGGCAGCAGUGGGGAAUAUUGCACAAUGGGCGCAAGCCUGAUGCAGCCAUGCCGCGUGUGUGAAGAAGGCCUUCGGGUUGUAAAGCACUUUCAGCGGGGAGGAAGGCGUUAAGGUUAAUAACCUUGGCGAUUGACGUUACCCGCAGAAGAAGCACCGGCUAACUCCGUGCCAGCAGCCGCGGUAAUACGGAGGGUGCAAGCGUU